RNAcentral lists this ribosomal RNA (239 nucleotides) under uncultured Lactobacillus sp. Its description in RNAcentral is "partial 16S ribosomal RNA". It matches the Rfam family "Bacterial small subunit ribosomal RNA", at positions 125 to 354 of the family's 1533-position model. The record is from RNAcentral. Lineage: Bacteria; Bacillati; Bacillota; Bacilli; Lactobacillales; Lactobacillaceae.
CCGUAGCCCAAGAGAUCGGGAUAACACCUGGAAACAGAUGCUAAUACCGGAUAACAACAGAUGAUGCCUAUCAACUGUUUAAAAGAUGGUUCUGCUAUCACUCUUGGAUGGACCUGCGGUGCAUUAGCUAGUUGGUAGGGUAACGGCCUACCAAGGCGAUGAUGCAUAGCCGAGUUGAGAGACUGAUCGGCCACAUUGGGACUGAGACACGGCCCAAACUCCUACGGGAGGCAGCAGGU